GACGUAGGGAGCGAGCGUUGUCCGGAUUCAUUGGGCGUAAAGGGUGCGUAGGUGGCCGGGUAAGUUCGGUGUGAAAGCUCGGAGCUCAACUCUGAAAUGUCAUCGAAUACUAUCCGGCUUGAGGGUCGGAGGGGAGACUGGAAUUCUCGGUGUAGCAGUGAAAUGCGUAGAGAUCGAGAGGAACACCAGUGGCGAAGGCGAGUCUCUGGACGACUCCUGACACUGAGGCACGAAAGCUAGGGGAGCAAACAGG
RNAcentral lists this ribosomal RNA (253 nucleotides) under uncultured bacterium. Its description in RNAcentral is "partial 16S ribosomal RNA". It matches the Rfam family "Bacterial small subunit ribosomal RNA", at positions 524 to 776 of the family's 1533-position model. The record is from RNAcentral.